RNAcentral lists this ribosomal RNA (253 nucleotides) under uncultured bacterium. Its description in RNAcentral is "partial 16S ribosomal RNA". It matches the Rfam family "Bacterial small subunit ribosomal RNA", at positions 524 to 776 of the family's 1533-position model. The record is from RNAcentral.
GACGGAGGGCUCUAACGUUGUUCGGAAUCACUGGGCAUAAAGCGCACGUAGGCGGUUCGCUAAGUCGAAUGUGAAAGCCCCCGGCUCAACCGGGGAAUUGCAUUCGAUACUGGCGGGCUAGAGGGCGGCAGGGGUAAGUGGAACUCCGGGUGGAACGGUGAGAUGUGUAGAUAUCUGGAGGAACACCGGUGGCGAAAGCGGCUUAAUGCGCCGUCUCUGGCGCUGAGGUGCGAAAGCUACGGUAGCGAACGGG